CGUCGGUCUGAUUAGCCAAGCAAGGGAAGUUUGCAACGUAAGCCCCUCGCGAUGAUUGUACACCCGCUAAGAAAAGUCAGCCAAACUUAAAAACUCUACGUCACUAUGGAGUCAACAUACAAAUAAUGAAUUGUUUCCUUUUGGUUGAGUCCAGCUCAGAGACACAGACGAUGUUGUGGUUCCAAUCACAUUGAGGUUGCCGACAACUCCGGGCUCUGUAGAGCAAAAUGGAGGAAAAGGGGAAAACACCCCUAAAUGUAGAUGUGACUGCAACUUGUACACAGCUGCGUACGUAACUAUAAAAGGGGACGGGAGAAAAGGACUUCCUUGUUCCCGAGAUGGACCCACUGAUAGCAACGUCACAAUUUUCCCAUCAAAAAUGAGUUCACGGGCAGAGAAGUCAUUUCGCACACACACAGACGAGAGUAAUCAUUCCAUGAUAAACUCAUGCAAAGCAAUGUACUUUUCCUGGGUCUUUAAUUGCCGGGUCUCGCUCUCCGAACUGUAGCUGCUAUCUCACCACCCACAUUGUAGUUAACAGGGCUUUUUGAUCUCAGAGGCCAUGUCGAUGCUGCCGUCUGAAAUCCUUUCAUGUGUAAUAAAUCACAUACAAAUUUCCCUGUUACGAAAUAAAUAGGGAUGUGACAGUCUAUUAUGAUGCUGUCUUUUUGCUUGUGUGGGUGCUGGAGGUGGCAUUCAAUGCAAAUAAACACAUUUGGAAGA
Molecule: long non-coding RNA, 723 nt
Organism: Oncorhynchus kisutch (coho salmon)
Lineage: Eukaryota; Metazoa; Chordata; Actinopteri; Salmoniformes; Salmonidae
Exons: 3
Source: RefSeq, a predicted model, not a curated record